Molecule: long non-coding RNA, 388 nt
Filed under: Homo sapiens (human)
Lineage: Eukaryota; Metazoa; Chordata; Mammalia; Primates; Hominidae
Description: HSALNT0108596
Source: RNAcentral
UUGCUGUUGGCUUCAUUUGAUAAGGUCUGCAGACUAAGAGGAGCCAUGCCCAGACAUGAUAAAAAGAUUAUGGAGCACCACUCACAGAUCCUGGACUCAACAAUGGAUGCAGUCACUGGAUGGAACUUUUGGAUGGAACUAUGAACUUUUCUGGCAUUCUUGUGGUGGGAUGGUGCCUUGUGACUAGUUCUGACCAAUGAGUUGUGAGCAGAAGUGAAGUGUGGCCAGAGCACUUAAUUGCCAACUAGAAACUUCCAGAGUUUCUUUCCCACUUCUUCAAUGAUUGUGAAGUGAUGUUCCCACAAAGCUUUCAUUCCUGAGUUCCUGAGAGACUACAGAAGGAUGCAAAUCAGAGACCUCUGCUGACUCACCUGAAAACAUGGGCAAG